Molecule: ribosomal RNA, 460 nt
Filed under: uncultured bacterium
Lineage: Bacteria
Description: partial 16S ribosomal RNA
Rfam family: Bacterial small subunit ribosomal RNA
Source: RNAcentral
CCUACGGGAGGCAGCAGUGAGGAAUAUUGGUCAAUGGCCGCAAGCCUGAACCAGCCAAGUCGCGUGAAGGAUGAAGGACCUAUGGUUUGUAAACUUCUUUUAUAGGGGAAUAAAGUUAUGCACGUGUGCCUAUUUGCAUGUAUCCUAUGAAUAAGCAUCGGCUAACUCCGUGCCAGCAGCCGCGGUAAUACGGAGGAUCCGAGCGUUAUCCGGAUUUAUUGGGUUUAAGGGGAGCGUAGGUGGUUUUUUAAGUCAGCGGUGAAAGUUUGUGGCUCAACCGUAAAAUUGCCGUUGAUACUGGCAGACUUGAGUGUAUUUGAGGUAGGCGGAAUUCGUGGUGUAGCGGUGAAAUGCAUAGAUAUCACGCAGAACUCCGAUUGCGAAGGCAGCUUACUAAGCCGUAACUGACACUGAUGCACGAAAGCGUGGGGAUCAAACAGGAUUAGAUACCCUAGUAGUC